AGCCGAGCGGUAGAGAUUCUUCGGAAUCUUGAGAGCGGCGUACGGGUGCGGAACACGUGUGCAACCUACCUUUAUCAGGGGGAUAGCCUUUCGAAAGGAAGAUUAAUACCCCAUAAUAUAUUGAAUGGCAUCAUUUAAUAUUGAAAACUCCGGUGGAUAGAGAUGGGCACGCGCAAGAUUAGAUAGUUGGUAGGGUAACGGCCUACCAAGUCAGUGAUCUUUAGGGGGCCUGAGAGGGUGAUCCCCCACACUGGUACUGAGACACGGACCAGACUCCUACGGGAGGCAGCAGUGAGGAAUAUUGGACAAUGGGUGAGAGCCUGAUCCAGCCAUCCCGCGUGAAGGACGACGGCCCUAUGGGUUGUAAACUUCUUUUGUAUAGGGAUAAACCUACUCUCGUGAGAGUAGCUGAAGGUACUAUACGAAUAAGCACCGGCUAACUCCGUGCCAGCAGCCGCGGUAAUACGGAGGGUGCAAGCGUUAUCCGGAUUUAUUGGGUUUAAAGGGUCCGUAGGCGGAUCUGUAAGUCAGUGGUGAAAUCUCAUAGCUUAACUAUGAAACUGCCAUUGAUACUGCAGGUCUUGAGUAAAGUAGAAGUGGCUGGAAUAAGUAGUGUAGCGGUGAAAUGCAUAGAUAUUACUUAGAACACCAAUUGCGAAGGCAGGUCACUAUGUUUUAACUGACGCUGAUGGACGAAAGCGUGGGGAGCGAACAGGAUUAGAUACCCUGGUAGUCCACGCCGUAAACGAUGCUAACUCGUUUUUGGGUCUUCGGAUUCAGAGACUAAGCGAAAGUGAUAAGUUAGCCACCUGGGGAGUACGUUCGCAAGAAUGAAACUCAAAGGAAUUGACGGGGGCCCGCACAAGCGGUGGAUUAUGUGGUUUAAUUCGAUGAUACGCGAGGAACCUUACCAAGGCUUAAAUGGGAAUUGACAGGUUUAGAAAUAGACUUUUCUUCGGACAAUUUUCAAGGUGCUGCAUGGUUGUCGUCAGCUCGUGCCG
This 1001-nucleotide ribosomal RNA is filed under the name Chryseobacterium balustinum. RNAcentral describes it as "bacterial SSU rRNA". It matches the Rfam family "Bacterial small subunit ribosomal RNA", at positions 60 to 1067 of the family's 1533-position model. The record is from RNAcentral. Lineage: Bacteria; Pseudomonadati; Bacteroidota; Flavobacteriia; Flavobacteriales; Weeksellaceae.